GACGAGCUCUCCAAACGUUAUUCGGAAUUACUGGGCGUAAAGCGCACGUAGGCGGAUUGGAAAGUUGGAGGUGAAAUCCCAGGGCUCAACCUUGGAACUGCCUUCAAAACUCCCAGUCUUGAGGUCGAGAGAGGUGAGUGGAAUUCCGAGUGUAGAGGUGAAAUUCGUAGAUAUUCGGAGGAACACCAGUGGCGAAGGCGGCUCACUGGCUCGAUACUGACGCUGAGGUGCGAAAGCGUGGGGAGCAAACAGG
Molecule: ribosomal RNA, 253 nt
Filed under: uncultured bacterium
Lineage: Bacteria
Description: partial 16S ribosomal RNA
Rfam family: Bacterial small subunit ribosomal RNA
Source: RNAcentral